RNAcentral lists this ribosomal RNA (61 nucleotides) under Trichoderma harzianum. RNAcentral's name for it is "partial 28S ribosomal RNA". Lineage: Eukaryota; Fungi; Ascomycota; Sordariomycetes; Hypocreales; Hypocreaceae. The record is from RNAcentral.
UUGACCUCGGAUCAGGUAGGAAUACCCGCUGAACUUAAGCAUAUCAUAAGCUGGAAAGAAA